This 253-nucleotide ribosomal RNA is filed under the name uncultured bacterium. RNAcentral describes it as "partial 16S ribosomal RNA". It matches the Rfam family "Bacterial small subunit ribosomal RNA", at positions 524 to 776 of the family's 1533-position model. The record is from RNAcentral.
GACGUAGGGUGCAAGCGUUGUCCGGAUUUACUGGGCGUAAAGCGCACGUAGGCGGCUUCUUAAGUCAGGGGUGAAAUCCUGGAGCUCAACUCCAGAACUGCCUUUGAUACUGAGGAGCUUGAGUCCGGGAGAGGUGAGUGGAACUGCGAGUGUAGAGGUGAAAUUCGUAGAUAUUCGCAAGAACACCAGUGGCGAAGGCGGCUCACUGGCCCGGUACUGACGCUGAGGUGCGAAAGCGUGGGGAGCAAACAGG